Non-coding RNA from Amborella trichopoda, 13613 nucleotides. Lineage: Eukaryota; Viridiplantae; Streptophyta; Magnoliopsida; Amborellales; Amborellaceae. The record is from RefSeq and is a predicted model, not a curated record.
GCAUUGCCUUUAUGCUUCAAGGACUUGGAGAGCAUAUUUGGCAGAGAGGCGGUAGAAGGAAUGAAUGCAUUAGGGGGAGGUGGCAUAACUUUGAGUAGGCAUGGCCUCCAAGACACUCAAAGCCCUUCUCAUGAUACUAACCAAGGAGGUAUCGAUGCGCCACUAGAUCAUACCCCUGGCACAUCUGUGCCAAUGGCAGACUUGGGGGUUGAGAAGGGCUCCAGCUCUUACUCAUCUGACGGCGCAUUGUCCUCUGAGUCAAAGAGGGGGCACUCUCAGAGUCCAACAGGAGCUCAAUGAAGGAAAAAACAACCCACAACAAUUGAUACAAUGGUCGACAUUAUGGCCACGAUGGCAUGUACCGUGAAGGACUGGGCAACCGCUACUAUUAGCAGGAUGAACAAUCAUCCUGCAGCUGUUGUUGCUCAGGCAAGGAAGGAUAGAGAGCAAUGCACAUGGAUUGUCGAAGCCUUGUGGAAAAAGGGAGAAAUAGGUAUUCAUGUCCUCAUAUCUUCGUCAAGGCAUCUCGGAUAUUUCAAGACUCCUCAAGUAUGGAGCUAUUUUUUACCUUGGAGAACCUAGAGGGUGUAGUGGCCUAGUUGGAGGAUACGGUGCAGCGCAUGCAAUAGUUUUAGUUUCCUCCUUUAAGAUGUUGAUGAACUUCAAAAUACUUUGUUUUUGCGAACAAAAAUUAAUUUUGGUGUCUACUUUUGGAAGGAUCUUCAUAUGAAGAUAUGAAUGCUUGUUUUCUGUGUGCCUGGCAGUUUGAAUAGAUCUUUCAUGGAUCAGUUCAACUUUAUUUUUAUUCUUUAUAGAUGGGUCAGGAUAAUGGCUGUCAUUAUGGUUAAGGCAAGUAUGAAAUUUUGUUUUAUGGAUGGUAGUUUAAAUGGAUUUAUCUUUUGUAUAUGAGUUCAAUUUCUGUUUACUAAUUUAUGGAUAGGUCAGGAUAAUGCUUGUCCUUAUGUCAUUAUGGUUAUUUCAGACUAUGGAAUUUUUCUUUAUGGAUGGUAGUUUAAAUGGAUUGAUCUUUUGUGGAUAAGUUCAAUUUUAGUUUAUUGAUUUAUGGAUGGGUCAGGAUAAUGUUUGUCCUUAUGUCAUUAUGGUUAUUUCAAAAUAUGGAAUUUUGUUUUUUGGAUGGUAGUUUAAAUAGACUGAUCAUUUGUGGUUCUGUUCAAUUUUAGUACAUUACGUUAACUUGUUUGUUUUCCUUUUGGGUGAUCCUGAUAUGAACGACAAUUAUCACUCACGACUCUAUGGACCCCCAAGACGAGGAGUUCAUGUUCAUAUUUUCUAUCCUGUAUGUGGCAUUUUGCUUAACAUAUUGGCACAACUAGUCAAGUGAGAAGGCAGCGUGUACUUACCUCAGUCCUAACUGGGCCCAAGUAUGUCGAGUACUUACAAACGGGGCAUCCUUGUCAUUCCUUCGAUAUGUUGCGAAUGGAGAAGGGCAUCUUUCUCGAUCUGUGUAAUCUACUAAAGGACAGGUCACUUAUUAUAGAUACUAGACACUUGAUAGUGGAGGAGCAAAUUGCCAUAUUCUUAAGUACCCUGACACAUGAUCAAUGAAAUAGGGUUGUUCAAGAACCCUUUCAACAUUCUGGCCAAACCAUUAGUUUCUACUUUAACAAAGAAUUGAUUGUGAUAUUACAAUUAUGACCCCUGUUCCUUCAACUUCCUGGCAAUGAAACACCUAAGCACAUUGAGGAUGACAAGGAGAGGUUUUUCCUAAAUUUCCAGGUGAGAUACCGUCUUCUCCUUUUUAAGGUGGUUCAAUCAAUAGUAAAACUAUUAAUAAUGGUAUAGGUACUUUGACUUUUAAUAGGAAUGCAUGGUAGCGACUGACGGGACAUAUAUCCCUGCACGAGUUAAGAGUGAAAUGCAUCAACGCUACAGAAAUAUGAAAGGAUUCUUAAGCCAAAAUGUUAUGGCUGCAGUUGGGUUUGACAUGUAGUUCCAAUAUUGCCUUGCUGGAUGGGAGGGCUCCACAUUAGACUCUUGAGUCCUACUUGACGGGAUCGGAAGGGAACAUAAUCGUUUGGUGGUUCCUGAAAGUUAGGCGACAUGUUUAUUUUGCAAUGUCAUGCUAUAAUGCGUAACUCUAUUUUUUCAUUUCGAUAUGUUCCAAGAAAAUAUUACCUCGUAGAUGGAGGCUACCCUGUAUUGCAGAUUCCAUUAUCAUUUGAGUUACUUUGCAACAGGUUUCCAAGGUCCUCAAGAUGAGAAGGGGUUAUUCAACUGAAGGCACUCAACUCUUAGGAAUGUGGUCGAAAUGACAUUCGGGUUGUGGAAGGUGCGAUUUCUGAUUCUAGGGAACCAAAUGCAGUAACUUCUAAGAACUCAAAUCAAGAUUGUUAUUGCAACUGCGAUUUUGCAUAACUACAUCAUGAUAUCACGAGGAGCAAAUAGCAGGAGGGAGUUGCGAUUUCGGAGGAGAGUUGAAAGACAAAUGCCUGGAGGGGGAGGGGGGGCGAGGGGGAGAAGACAAUUACACCAACUGAACUCAUGGACAAGACGUUCAUGAUGAUGGCGUGGAACUCCGAGAUGCAAUUGCAUCUCAAUUGUGGCAUGCAUAUGUUAAUUGAUGGGGGUGAUUUGUUUUUUUAGACAUGUAAAAUUGUGUUACGAACUUCACCUAUUUCUUUGUCUUGGUUAGAUAUGUGCCAAAUAUUUAUGUAACUGUAACUUGUCUAGUGCGAUUAUAUAGAGAACAUAUUCUAGCUAUUGGCUUUUGAUCCACAUCUCCUUGAUGGAGAAAAAGCUUGUCCUUCAUUGUUCACAUGAUUCAUCAAAAAUGCAAGACUUCAUUGUUAUUAACUUUUUAUAUCGCAUGCUGAUGAGUCUACCAUUUAUAUUGGUUGUCAUUAUGUCCUUAUGCUCAAUCUUUUUACACUACUGAGAAAUAUGCACACUUAUAUUUGUAAACUGCAUGCCAUGGGAUGGGAUCUUAACCCUAUGGGAUAUGUGGAUUAAGUUUGUGUAAGUAUCAUGCGUGUUUUCUUUGACUUACACGUUGCACCUUUUGGUUAGUGUAUAUACAGGUGAUUGUCAUAUAGGAGGACUCCUGUACAACUCAUAUGAGUGUUGAGGAAUGAAAUUACGUCUGCUUGUGCAGUUGGUAUCCACUUGUUGCCCUUCCAGACUACUAGGUGUAGAUUGGAUCGGCAAAACUUUAGUCACAAGCUUAAUUUCAAGCAUAUGACUCGCAACUAGUUUGAUGUAUUGAUUUCAAUAGACUAGCUAUAUCAUGCAAUUCAAGUUUAAGCUUCUUUCAAAUAGUUUGAUGUAUUGAUUUCAAUAGGCUAUAUCAUGCAAUUCAAGUUUUUGCAGUUUCAUAAUUUGAUAUACCUCUAAGUUUUGUAUGUCAUUACUGUCCAUUCAUCUAUCUAUGAAUAGCUCGCAAAAAUUAUUAUAUGGUCUUAAGGGAAGGCAGCCAGGGGUUUACGAUUCCUGGACAAAGUGCGAGCAAUACCUUAUGUAUUUCAAUACGUAAGGUAUUUCAACAAUGCGUGACAACGAACGUGGCUUGAUUUGGGGUUCGAACGACCGUUUUUCAAAUUUGGUAUUUUGGCCGAAGUUUUGUUUCCGGUGUCCGGAAAUUGCAGCAAAUUCGACUCCAUUGUGCGGUGAAACUGACCGUCCAUCACGUGCGAGGUUUGAUUCAGAUGAAGCCUCUGACCUCGUGCUCGUAAUGGGCCUAGUUUGAGGUCGAUCCGAUACGCGGGCGUCAUGAUGUGGCUGCUUGAUCAAGGCACGUUUUGGAUCAGGGCUUGUUGUCCUACGGCUUCUGUAGUCCACAGGCUCUUCGUCAGCAUUGCCUUAAACUUGUCAGAUCGCGACGAAAAUAUGCAGGUAUGGAUGACGAAGUUAUGGAGGUUGAGAGUGUAACCUCAAAGACGAAAGAAAUACAUCGGACUCGUAGGAUGGAAAUGACAUUGCUAGAUGCGCUAAUUGAACAUGUACAGGCAUGCAAUAAGCUAGAGAAGGACUUCAAACCAUCACAAUGAAAUGUUGUAGAGAAAGCCUUCACCAACGCAACAGGCAUGACUUUGAAGAUCGAGAACUUCAAAAACAACCUCAAACGCACAUCCCAAUGCCAAGCAUAUCAAGUGGAACCAUUUCCCUAUUAUGAGGAGUUGGGCAUAAUCAUAAGCAAUUCAACGGCCGAGGAAUAAGUACGAGGACAACAGCAACAGCCGAGCAAGAUGCAAUGCUGGAAGAUGAAGACACCUGGUAUGGAUGUUGAAGACGAGGACAUUCCUGACAUGCCUACACAUUCAAGGGCUAGUGAGAAGGAUAAAUCCCCUGCUUCAACUGCAAGUCGGCCAAGAAAGAGGAAGAUGAGGGCAGUGGCUCAUACCUUACAGUUGAUGGUUGAAGUAGUGGUGGGCCUAAGGUUUGCAUUUACACAAUUCAAAAAUGUUCCUAAUGAAUCGAUGAUGUUUGUGAGGCCAUUUUCUAGCUUGAAGGUGUUGAAGAUGAUGUCACUUCAAAGGCAUGCAUGGGGAUCAACUCAUAUGUGAAUAUGAGUAAGAUCUUCAUCAAGAUGAAUGAUGCGAGAAAGUUGGCCUAGAUCCAGUCCGAGUAUGGAAUUGGACCAAAUGAUUGUAUCGGAUGCCUAUGGCCCUCUCAGAGUCUCUCUCUAAUUUUUUUUUUUUGAAAACUUUACAUAUGUAUUUUGAUUUAUCCCUCUCUCUAUCUCUCUGUCUUUCUUUUGCUCUCUUCCCUCUCUCUUGGGUACCAUCCAAAAAAGGUCGUGGUUGUUCUCUCAACUCAACAUUCUGCAUCUCCAAAUCAGUUUGCCUGUUAUGUGCCCUUUGCUACUCUUUAUCAUUUCUUUGUUUCUUCUUCUUGACUUAGCAUAUAAGCCAAGUAUAGAUGGGUCUACAAAGUGAGCCUCAAGUUAAAAGGGAUUCUUGAGCAGUAUAAAACUAGUAGCGAUCUUAGGUAUGCACAGAAUUGCUGGUUUGAUUUGAAAAGAAGCUCAUGACGCCCUUUGCUUUUCACUGGAAUAGAAGUUGAAAUAUAUUUUCUAGUCUCUAACUAUUAUCCGUCUCCUUUUCUGCAUAUAUCAGUCACCUUUUCUGCAUUCUCCAAUUGUAGUAACUAAUGUCCUUUUCUUGUAGAAAUGUGGGCUUGACAAUAAAUAUAUUUUUUGAAUAUAUUUUUAUCCUAAUUGCAUUUCUUGGUGGGAGAAGAUUUUGUAUUUGUAAAUGUUCAGAAAAUUUUGUGUAUUUUGUCGAUUGCAGUGAUCAAAUAUAUAACAUAUAUCCAACAAAGAAUUGGAUAGAGAGAGUGAUGUAGAUAGAUAGAUAGACAAAUUUGUAUGUCAAAGGCUGACUGAAAUUCUAUUGUAUAGGUUUGGACAUCAAUAUGGGACCAAGCACAAACAAUUUAUGCAAAUGGCAAUGUUACUUUUGUAAAUUGGAUAGUUUUACAUGACAAUUGUAUUUUGAUUGCUAUUCUUCUAGCUGAAACUGAUUAAAAAUGCCUGAUUCCUGGUACACAUAAAACAAUAUAUAUGCUCUAGAAAAGAGUUGCAACAUAUUUUAGCUCAGAUUAGCAGUAGGGUGCCUACUUAAAUGUUUAUGGGUCUCUUCCUAUACACAUUUAUAUAAGGUAUCUUGGUUUACUUAUAUAUGUUGUAUUGCCAACACUUAUCCUAAGGUUUCCUCUUUAUUGUUCCAUUUAUUGUACUACACAAUGCUAAAACCAUUUUGACAGUAACAUUUACAUUGAGAUAGAGGUUGGCAUGAGAAAACAUUUUGCUUCAGUCUUCAAUGAGAAUUCUAUGUGACUUGUAGUGAUAUAUAUCAUUCUUGAAUUAUUCCAAAUUAUCCAUAUGAUUUUGCAUCAUAUUUGAUACCUAAUUAUGACUAGUUACAAAACAUUUCAUGCUCAUGUGGGGCCUUUAAACCCAAAUGCAUGACCUUACAACUUCUACAUAGUCUUACUGUCAACAAAACUUACAUGUUCCUGAAUUGUGUCGAAAUUACACAUGCAUGUGUAUCUAUUCAUACAAAUAAAUUGUGCUAGGCAUGCAUGUAUAUGCUGGCAGAUGUGCAUUUGUUUAAAGGAACCAUUAUUUAUGAGGUGAAUCGGGGUACAACAGAAUGCAUUGAAUUCUUCUUAUCAUUUGUUGUGGUUUUAUUGAUAGAUGAUCUAUAAUAUAUCAUUGUUGAUACCCAUAAAUAGAAUUUGGAUUCUAACGCCUGUUCUUUUACUAUCCCACGUAGAGUGCAAGAAUUUUCUUGAGUACUGCAAUGGGAAAGAGCUCCAACGCCAUUCAAUGCUUUGACCAUUUGAGUAUGCAGAGUGAACAACCAAAAAGGAACUAUUGUAAUACCAAAAUAGGCUUCAUAUUGAAGAGGAGGACAUUCCUGAGACGCCUACACAUUCAAGGGCUAGUGAGAAGGGUAAAUCCCCUGCUUCAACUGCAAGUCGCCCAACAAAGAGGAAGAAGAGGGCAGUGGCUAAAAUCUUACAGUUGAUGGUUGAAGUAGUGGCGGGCCUAGGGUUUGCAUUUGUGCAAUUAAAAAUUUCUCCUAAUGAAUCGAUGACAUUUGUGAGGCCAUUUUCUAGCUUAAUGGUGUUGAAGAUGAUGUCACUUCGAAGGCAUGCAUGGGGAUAAACUCAGAUGUGAAUAUGAGUAAGAUCUUCAUGAAGAUGAAUGAUGCGAGAAAGUUGGCCUAGAUCCAGUCCAAGUAUGGAAGUGGAGCAAAAAGUUGUAUCUGAUGCCUAUGGCCCUCUCAGAAUCUCUCUCGAAUUUCUUUUUUUUUUUGAAAAAUUUACAUAUGUAUUUUGAUUUAUCCCUCUCUCUAUUUCUCUGUCUUUCUUUUGCUCUCUCCCCUCUCCCUUGGGUACCAUCCAAAAAGGUUGUGGUUGCUCUCUCAACUCAACAUUCUGCAUCUCCAAAUCAGUUUACCUGUUAUGUGCCUUGUGCUACUCUUUAUCGUUUCUUUCUUUCUUCUUCUUGACUUAGCAUAUGAGCCAAGUAUAGAUGGGUCUACAAAGUGAACCUCAAGUUAAAAGGAUUCUUGAGCAGUAUAAAACUAGUAGUGAUCUUAGGUAUGCACAGGAUUGCAGGUUUGAUUUGAAAAGAAGCUCAUGAAGCCCUUUGCUUUUCACUGGAAUAGAAGUUGAAAUAUAUUUGCUAGUCUCUAACUAAUAUCAGUCACCUUUUCUGCAUAUAUCAGUCACCUUUUCUGCAUUCUCCAAUUGUAGUAACUAAUGUCCUUUUCUUGAACUGCGUGGUUAGCAUGCAGCCAGCCCGCAUAUUGUGGAAAUGUGGGCUUGACAAUAAAUAUAUUUUUUGAAUAUAUUUUUAUCCUAAUUGCAUUUCUUGGUGGGAGAAGAUUUUGUAUUUGUAAAUGUUCAGAAAAUUUGAUGUAUUUUGUUGAUUGCGGUGAUCAAAUAUAUAACAUAUAUCCAACGAAGGAUUGGAUAGAUAGAGUGGUGUAGAUAGAUAGAUAGAUAGACAAAUUUGUAUGUCAAAGACUGACUGAAAUUCCAUUGUAUAUGUUUGGACAUCAAUAUGGGACCAAGCACAAACAGUUUAUGCAAAUGGCAAUGUUACUUCUGUAAAUUGGAUAGUUUUACAUGACAAUUGUAUUUUGAUUGCUAUUCUUUUAUAGCUGAAACUGAUUAAAAAUGCCUAAUUCCUGGUACACAUAAAACAAUAUAUAUGCUAAGGAAAAGAGUUGCAACAGAUUUUAGCUCUGAUUAGUGGUAAGGUUCCUACUUAAACAUUUAUGAGUCUCUUCCUAUACACAUUUAUAUUAGGUAUCUUGGUUUACUUGUAUCUGUUGUAUUGCCAACACUUAUCCUUAAGGUUUCCUCUUUCUUGUUCUAUUUAUUGUGCUAUACAAUGCUAAAACCAUUUCGACAGUAACAUUUACAUUGAGUUAGAGGUUGGCAUCAUAUAUGGCAUCAAACAACAUUUUUCUUCAGUCUUCAAUGAGAAUUCUAUGUGACUUGUAGUGAUAUAUAUCAUUCUUGAAUUAUUCCAAAUUAUCCAUAUGAUUUUGCAUCAUAUUUGAUACCUAAUUAUGAUUAGUUACAAAACAUUUCAUGCUCAUGUGGGGCCUUUAAACCCAAAUACAUGACCUUACAACUUCUACAUAAUCUUACUGUCAACGAAACUUACAUGUUCCUGCAUUGUGUUGAAAUUACACAUGCAUGUGUAUCUAUUCAUACAAAUAAAUUGUGUUAGGCAUAAAUGUAUAUGCAAGCAGAUGUGCAUUUGUUUAAAGGAAACAUUAUUUAUGAGGUGAAUCGGGGUACAACAUAAUGCAUUGAAUUCCUUUUAUCAUUUGUUGUGGUUUUAUUGAUAGAUGAUCUACAAUAUAUCAUUGUUGAUACCCAUAAAUAGAAUCUAGGUUCUAAGGCCUGGUCUUUCACUAUCCCACAGAGUGCAAGAAUUUGCUUGAGUGCUGCAAUGGGAAAGAGCUCCAACACGAGACAAUGCUUUGACCAUUUGAGUAUGGAGAGUGAGCAGCCAAAAAGGCACUAUUGUAAGACCAAAAUGGGCUUCAUAAAUAUAAGAACAGCACUGUACAUGUACUUCCAAAACCAAAUGACUUGCACUAACCGAGAUUAUUCAUUAUAAACGGGCUGAUAAUUCAUAUGUAAAAGCCAAAACAAUUCACAAACUAAAAACUAGAAAGAAUAAAACAGAGGCAAAGUGGGUCCAAUUCCGUUAACUUAAUUAUAUUUAACAAUUUGUCAGCUUAAAUAACUUUCAAAAGCUCCAUAAACUUAAUUACAUUUUACAAUUUGUCAUCUUAAAUAACUAUAAGAAACAAUGGAGAUUUUUCCCAAAACAAUUGAUGAAUUCAUCACUCUAUACAAUAAUUUUCCCCGUAGUAAACCACUAAACUGUGCCAAAAAAAUGCUGCAUGCAAAACCACUGAAAUGUUAUCCAUAGAAUGCUCUCUAGUCUUCCAAACCACUGAAUUGUGGACCCCAAAAUCCUCUUUUUGUGGCUUCCCAAACUCCUAAAUUAUGCCUCGGAGAUCAUGAAAAGUCUAGAUCUCACAUAACCAGCAUAAUCAGGCACCACCUCCAACAUACUUAUAGCAAAUUUCAAAUCCUCAUCUUCAAUAGGCAUCACCCGAUUAAGAUCCAUAACCCCCAUUCUCUCUUCAUUCCUUCUCUUUCCUCCCCCAUUCUUUCUCUCUCCUCCCAAUUCAACUUGAGAACCCAUUGUCAACCUCUUUGAAGAAUGAUGAGCUUUCAACUUGGCUAGAUGUUUCUCUCUGUCAAAAUGUUUCCUCAUAUGGCCACCUAAAGCCUGACCUGAACUGAACCAUUGGUUACACUUAGUGCAUAUAUGGCUCCCUUGCCUUUCCGUGUGAAAUUGGCUGGAAUUCUGCUGAUUUAUAGUCUUUUAUUGACAAAUACUUUCAAGAAGCCCAACUAAAUCUCAGACCAAAUUCCAGAAACUUGAACAUCCUCUUGUGAUACUUCCUCGUCCUUUGAGUUAUUAGCUGCAGAGACUCCAAUGAGAAACUUCCUCUUCUUUGAAUCAUGGCAGUUUGAAAUGAUUUCACUUUCUUGGGGUUUGUCAGAAUUAGCAACUGUCUCAAUAGCUCUCGCCUCCCUCUUCACCUCGGUUUUCUUCUUCCAUUGGCCCCGACGGUAAACUAAGAAGCUUUCAUGGAGGAUUUCACUGGGAUCCAAUUCCAGGCCUUCCUUGUCAGUUUCUUGUUUUUCCAAGAAACCAAUUCCUCCAAAUUUCUUUGACAUUAAGAAAGAAUGGACACCAAUUUUAUGGUCGCAUGGAAUGGCUGAUAAAACGAUACUCUUUGAAGCUGGCAGGCUGGUCCUCCGUUCCUAGAACAAGCUGGUAUUGGUUGCGAAUUCAAGGCAUAUCCAGACCUUGGACCUUCCAUUACUGCUGAAGAGCUGAGUUCAUUAGGGUUGUGGAUCAAGGCUCCCUUGCAAAGUUCUUCAUAAGACCUAUUGGCAUCCAUUUUGGGUCUAUAAGGUUGUCGGGUAAUGCAUUUUGGGUUGCAAGCCCAGCUCCUUUAAAAGUUUGUAGUUCUCUGCUUACGUUGUCAUAGAGACCUAUUUCAGCCACUGCCUCACUCAAGAAAGUAUGGCCUAUAAUUUAAAGUGUUGCAACCUCAAUGACAUCUCUCUUUCCCUCUCAAAGAAAGUUGUCUUCAGAAGAAUGAAAGUGCAUCUUCUGUUUUCUUUGAUUUCAUAAUGUGCCUCACAUCUGUAGAGCUUAUCCACAUUAGUAGUCUCUAGCAAGUUGAACUGAGUGUACCAUUCUCAGCUUCCAAACAAUCAGAUAUUAAAGUAUUAGCUAUGCUACAUAAUUCUUGAGUUUCACUAUUUCCCCGUCAACUCCCAUAUUCUACCUACUCUAAAUUCUUUUUUGAGGAUUCUCUCUUCCCUAAAAUCUCUCAAUAAGAAGACCGAAUCCAAUUAGCUACACAGUCCUUUGAACUCUCUCUCUUUGAAGGUCACAUGCUCUAAUCUUCUGUAGAAAGAAGGUCCCAUUUUAUUUUUAUGACAUAUGUCCAUCCCUUAACUGUAGCUUAAUAACAUGAGGUAGGAAGGAGUAUGUGAGCUCUUUAUCGAAUUUAGAAAGUUAAUGCAUGUGAUUUUCUCACUAAAUUUUUUUAGAAUUUAUCCUAAAUUCUAAAUUUAUCCUAUAUGAGUAUGUUACUCUAAAUUCCUUUUUCAGGGUUCUAUCUUCCUAAAAUCUCUUCAUUUAGCUAUAUUAUGCCCUAAAAUCCCUCAUAUAUUGUAGGCCCUUCUAGAUAUAAAGUUUCCCUUUAUUCUUGCUACAUGUGUCACCAUUUAACUAUGGCUUAAUAAUGAUAUAGAUAUAGUAUAGAGAGAUAUCACUACAAGCCAGCCAAAGAAGGCUAGGCCUGGUCAAAGGAUCCUGCCCCGUUCAGCAUCUUAAAGCUCAAUCAUGCCAGGACUUUGAGGGGGACCCAGGCCCUGGAAGAGUAGGGAGCUUUGUUAGAGAUAACAAUGGGUCGAUUCUUAUUACGCACACUAUGGUCUGCUAGCGUCUCUAACAAUGGGUGCAUCCUUAUUACUCACUGUGGGGGUGGCUUAGUGAUCCAAGGCCUCAGGCUCUAAGAGGACUGCUAGGUUCGUUUGAUAAUGGAGGCAGACUCAAUUAACUUGUUCACUCCUGUUGGGACAUGAACGAGGCAUGCUCUUGCUAGGGAUGGGGUUUAGAAACUUACACUUACUGUUACCAAGCUUUGAGUUUUGAUAUUGUUCCUUAUCAUGGUUCUGCAAAAUCUAUUACUUAUCAUAGCUAUGUAGAAUCUACUGUGCAGACUCAUUUUUGUACACAAAUAGAAAUACACUUGUAAUCAAUUCUGAUUACAUUAAUUAGUUGAUUAAAAACAAAAGAGAACGUUUCCACAUGUCAGCUCAUGCACUACAAUAAUGUUGUCUCUGUCGUCUCAUUAAAAUUGACUACGGAGAUGUUAGGUCAACUGGCAAGAUAAUAGAUGGGGAUUACCAGUACAAGGAAGCGCAGAGCACCAGAGCCAUUUCAGCGGGGCCAAUUCAACAUGAUUAGCAAAAAUUUCCAAGCUGAAUUUUAAGUCCUUGCAGUAGAGCCAUUCAGUAAUGAUUAGUAGAUACAUUUCCAGAAGGUCCUACAUAGCAAAACACCACAUUGCCUCCGCUAUCGAGGCAAACACCACCCACCUUUGCCAAACCUCGAUUUCCUAAAGAUGAUCCAUCCGAACUCAAUUUGAAGCACCCUAUCAAUGGCGGCUGCCAAGUACACCUAGGUCUAACCUUAAUAAAAUUGAAAGUGAUAAGCUUAUCCAAAUUCAACUCAACGUCCACCUCAGAAACACUUGAACCUUUCCUAGUAAUACUAAACCAGCUCCAGACCCUAAAAUAAAUUCUAUUAUGUAUCCCUUGAAUCUUUGAUGAUACUCCAAAUGUUCUAUUCAUUUCCAACCACAACUCCCAUAUAAUAGCUGCUCGAAAAAUGUCCCAGAUCAUGCCGCUUACUUUUGCAACUCCGACAAGCUUGAGAUGGUCGAGGAUGUCUUUAUGAGAAUUAGGACAGAAACACCUAGUUUUGGCAUUGCCCAACACUAAAUAUGAUAAGAGAAAAGACAAAGUAGAAAUCAACGGUCUCUGUUUCGUCAUCAUUUUGGCAAAAUAGGUAUACAUUUAACUAAGAUUUUCCCUCUCUUCUUAAUUGUGAAUGGUUGGAGCUUUUCCUUGCGUCAUUACCCAUAUAAAGGUCUGCAUCUUAUGUGGUACUCUCCACUUCCAAAUUGCCUACCUUCAAAUUAGCCUGGCUCCAUCUAAACCGAUCACGAAAAAGAACGGAGUCAGUUGACUUGACUGAGAAGAUACCAUCAUAUUUGAGUUCCCAUACUGAUUCAUCCUCCAUAGUACUAGAUUUAUGAAUUCCCUCCAUAACCUUCAACAAUUCCAAGAUUUGUUCAGCAACAAUAUUAGGAAUUCUAUUGUAAAGGCAAUUGACAUUACAAAAAAUUGGAGUUCCCAUUUCAUUCACACACCUCCCUCACCUUUGCCAUGGCUGAGCUAUUCUUUGAAACGAAUCUGGAUAUUAAUAUUUAAAAGUAAUAUCAAGGGCCCAAAGGAUUGUCACCUUUCCAAACUGACCACCUUGCAUGCCUUUUAUAAAUGAGUGCAAAGAUAAAAUGGAUUUCCAAACAUGAGAUUGAUGUAAACUAUUACGGCCCCUAGCAAUCAAAUUAUUUAAAGGGUCCACACCAUACUUGCAACUAACACAUUUUUUCAUAGUUGUUGCUCAUUAUACAUAGCCCGCCACCAACACUUGGCAAUUAAUGCCUGGUUAACUAACUUUUAUUUUUAGAUACCCAGUCCAUUUCCUUUUUAGGAGUACAAAUGCUCUGCCAAUUCACUAAAUGAUACUUCCCUUUUCAUCGGAACUCCAUAAAAAAUUUCUCAUCAAUUGCUCAAUCUUUUUUAUGAUAAUCUCGAAUCUGAAAUCGACAUCCCCAAGUAUUUGAUUGGGAAAAACUCCACUCAACAAUUCAUAGCAGUAGCCAAACUUCUAACGAAAAACUCAUCACAUCCUACACCAACAAUUAAAGUUUUUUUAAAAUUGACUUUGAGCCCUAACGUCAAUUCACAGCAUCGAAGGAACUUUAGUAUUUGGUCGCAUUUUGCCCCACAAAAUAUAAUGAUGUCAUCAGCAUAAAUAGAAAUGGAUUUCAAAUUUCUUUUCCCUCACGUUGCAUUAGGGUUCUUUUUCAUCUCUCUUCCCCCACCCCAAGACUAGAGAAUAUGGUUUGUGCAGCGUGGAUAAAGACUCAUUGUGGGGAAGAGACACAGGCUCUGCCGCUUGGUUGACUCUGCGAAUGGAGUUUUGAUUCAUCGACUUAGAGAGAGAUGAUGGGAAAUGGUAGCACUGGCGAUAGAAAGGGUUCUGUCGGGCUUAUUCUAAAGAUCAGAUGGUGAAGACGGCAUGAUUUUGUUUUCGUUAUUAAUCUCCAAGUGAGUUGCAGAGCAAAACCACUUGGAGUUGUUCAGAGUUGGAUUCUACCUUGGAUGUAAAUUUGAAAAGUCAGUUCUUAUGAGCUGAAAACCUGUAUUACGAGCAAGUUUCUCACCAUUUUUGUUCA